Molecule: long non-coding RNA, 4491 nt
Filed under: Sorghum bicolor (sorghum)
Lineage: Eukaryota; Viridiplantae; Streptophyta; Magnoliopsida; Poales; Poaceae
Description: long non-coding RNA (SBIC_LNC005961)
Source: RNAcentral
UUUUUUUUUUUGAGUCAUAAAAUCAUUUUGGCUCUUUAAGAGGAAAAAAAAGAGGGUUUCAGAAAAAAGGAGGUGUCAUUUUUCAAAAACAAAGGGGGUGCUAACAGUAAACGGUGCUGCUGCUUGAUUCUUUAGGCACACUACCUACCUUCGAAAACUUAUAUAUGUGUUAUACAGUUCAGACUUAAAUCCACUGAUACAACACUGUCUAUAUUCAGACUGAAGAACCAACGUCAGCAAGAUGAGAAGGGAUCCCAAGCCAAGUCAUAAAACAAUGAGCCCUGAGCUCUUCCUCUGCUCUAUGUACAAAAGCACUUUACAUCAACUAUUAUGUAAUCUACCUCUAUGUUAAAGUUUAGACUAUGUGAUUUUCUAAUGUGAAAUGCGAUCACUAUGUAAACUAAACCUACGGACCGCUUAAGUAAACUAUGUAGUUGAUCCAUGUUCACACUGUUAUUUGUCUGCUCCAACCUAAAUUCCAUGUUAUUUUAUUUAAACCACAACAUGUUAUAAUCCACAGGUUCCAAAAGCAUAUAAACUAGGAGAAUGCUCUGCACGUUGCUGCGGGAAUUACCAGUAAAAUUAUACUAUCAUAAUAUAUGUUAGUGGAUGAUUUUUAGUAUUCUAGCAUAAAAUGAUUUGGUUUGCUAAUGUGAAUAACAUAGAUGCAAGAUAAAUGAUAUGUGUUAGUUCAAUUUAUUAGUGGAUAAUGAUGUGAACACUUUGCAUGGUGGGGUAAUGUAUUAGUGGGAUGAUUUAGUGGAUGUUGAUGUGGACGCUUUGCAUAGCAAUAGAGAUUAGUUUAUGGGAUGCUCAAGUGGAUGAUGAUGUGGAUGCUUUGCAUGUCAAGAGAAUUAGCUAGUGGGGUUUAUCUAUAUAAGAGAUAUAGAUUACAUAGCAAAUCGAAGCAUUCAUGCACACGGACGCGCGCCUAGUGGGGUUUAUCUAUAUAAGAAAUAUAGAUUACAUAGCAAAUCGAAGCAUUCAUGCACACGGGCGCGCGAAGGCGCGCACCCUGCCACUAGUAGUAAACAUGGACGGUACAAAUGUAGCCUAAAUAGCACUUCUGAUCAGCUCUACAACACACAGAGUUGCAACCACCAAGUAUUCAAACAUAGUGAUAAUGAUUUGUCAAGAGUUGUUAUGUUUGUUGUUGUCUUCAGUAGAAGAGAAGUUUCUGAAAAGUGCAGUGACGCACUGAACAGAGCUCGAGAGAUUGAAGUGUUUAUCCCAUCUUGUUUCAUGAUUAUAAGUUUUGGACAAGCAAUUCAAAUUCAAUAUGAUUUCACUUUAUAUCUUUGUGAUGGCUGUCAUCAAUUACAAAAAGGAGAAGAUUGAUAGCCCAAGUUUGAUUUUGGUAAUUAAUGGCACCAAGUUACUAAUAACAUUGUGUUAAAGUGGUUUGAGUUAGGCAUAGCAAUACGAGUAAUGAAGGAGUAAAGUGGCAUAGAAUGAUGAUCACAUGCAUGAUCACAAAGAGAUGGAUCAUGAACAUGUAAAUGAAGAUCAUGGUGAUCAAGCACUUGGAGAUGGACGAGGAGUAAAGUGAUCAAGGCAAAGGUAUAACCAUAGGGUUUUGCUUUUUUCGGUCUAAGAUGAGUAGAGAAGUGAUUGACCGGAUUUAGGAUAGAUAGCCGACUAUCAAGAGGGAAAAUCACGAUCAUCUCAUGAAUCAAAUGCUACUGGGUCAACAUCUUGAGUAUAUGCAUUAGGAUCUAGCAGAGUGCUAACAUAACUCCUUUGAAGAAAAUAUUUGUGAAAUUACUAACACACAUGCACAUGGUGGUGUUAGCACAUUUGCAAAGGAGGUGAAAUUUGAGGGGUAGAUAGGGUUUGGAAUCCUCUCCCGCUCCCGUCGAGCUCAGCGGGAUUCAGUGUUUCCGUGGAAAUAGAAUGCCUAUUUUACAUUACGCCGGAGGAAAGUUUCGGCGAAGUCGCGCGAGUGUUUCUCACUGAGAAACACUCAUCAGACGCUGGGUUAGACAGCAUCGAACGCUAAGGCCGUGUCCGACGAGUGUAGCAUAGGCAGGCGAAUUUUGGUUUGCACAUCGGAGUGUCCGAUGCCUCGAUGUCGGAGCGUCCAAUACUCGUGGGCAUAGUGGCGUGUUUAGGCACGUGUGCAUCUAAUGCUGGGUGUGUUUGAUGCCUGAGCGUUGGACGUGUCCGGUGCUAGCUUGAAGGUUUUUAAACCUUACUAAGUAGCGUCCGGUGUGAGGUGGCCCGUCCGACGUGCGCUUUAGUUGUUCGGUGAGUUCUUAGUUAUCGUUGAGGUUCAACGGUUCACAUUCAAAGAGUGACAUGUGGUAGAGAUCUAACACGCGUGGCAGGCGAUGGGCCGUGUCCGAUGGAAAAGCGUCAGCGUUUGAUGCCCCCAAGUUUGUUCCUAAUGGCUAACCCUUGAGUGAAAUAUUAUAAAUAGAAGGUGGUCGGGUUUAGGGAGCUUUCUCUUACCAAUCCGAAUACUUGAGGCAUACUUUGAGCUAGAGAACACCCUCUCCACUAAUCUUCUUGCUUGAUUGCUCAUCUUAGUGAGAUUUAGUGAGAUCCAAGUGUAUUGCAUUGAGAGUUGCAUCUAGUGGCACUUGAUCCUUGAGUUGGCUGCGGUUUUCUUGCUAUUCUUGGGUGUUUCCCGACACCCUAGACGGCUUGAAGCAGCGGUGGUGUUGGACUCGUGAUUGGAAAUUGUUUCGAGCCUCACUAAGUGAUUUAUGAGAGAGUUUUUACCCUUUCCCACGGAAAAUUACAAUUGGCUACUCUAGUGGAUUACUCAUGGCUUGAAGCAUCCCUAUCUUGUGAGUGGAUGUGCGGCACCCGCUGAAGUUUUUACUUUGGAUUGCCAAUUAGCUCAUGAUCCAUCAAGUGGGUGUAUCGUCACAACAAGAACUAGCUUACAGGAAAGCAAGUGAACCUUAAUAAAAAUCGUGUGUCAUCUCUUGCCGAGGAUUUCAUCUUGUGUAUACAAUUGUGAUUGAUUCUUGAUUAUACCUCUACUCUUCAACUUCGGUAUAAGGAUCCUCACUCACUCUUUUAGUUACUUGCUUACCUUGCUAGUAGUUUAGCUUGUGUAGUUUUGUUUCUAGGUUAAGGAGUAGAGCUAGAUGUUGUGCCUUGUUGUUUGUUUGUGUUUAGCCUUGUACUAGACUUGUGUAGGUGGCUUGCAUAGCUUAAUUGUGCUAGUGCUAGAAUUGCUUCGCCAUUGGUUUUACUAACAUACUUGUUUAGUUGAGUUCGUAGAAUUUAGGCUAUUCAACCCUCCCCUCUAGCCAUUUAGACCUUACACAUGGCCAGCUGAAAAUGGCUGUGCCGCGGCCCACAGGCUAUGCCUCGGGGCGAAGGCUAGAAACGAGCACGACAUAGGCACAAUGAUCCUGAGGCACGACUUUGAGCUGGGUCGGCAUAGCCCGACAUGGCGACGGGCUAGGCUGAUACAGCCCGUUGGACAUAUAUACGUAUAGCUAAGCUAUGGCCACAACAGACCGCCAAUGGAGCGCAUCCAUCCAUAAUAAGAGUCCAUACUCCGGGCAACACGAUCUGUGCAAAUAAAAGAAAUCAAAGCUAAUAAGAGCAUCUCCAGCAGUCCCCUUUCCUAACCCCUAAUGAGAAAAAGCUAUUAUUUUGAAGUUCUCGUAACUCCAACAGUUCACCAAACCUAAUCCCAAUGAUUUUUUUUCUCAGUCCCUCAGAUCCUAGCCACCCACUCAAAUAAAGGAGAGACUUUUCGUCCAAUUUACUAUUUUUCUUAUUGAGGAUUGAAUUUUCUCAUUCUGCUAGAGAGAAGACCUUCAAAACCCCAAAACAUGUUUGUAUCUCUCCUAGUUUUUGAGUUCAAGUUUUCUCCAACUGCCGGAGAUGCUCUAAGGACAUCAUUAGCACCGUGUCGCAUCUUCAUCUUGUUCGGCAUUAGCAACGACACAUCUUGUUUACCGUAACAGUAAAAAAAAACAUGCAUGCAUGAGCGAACGGCGAACAUCUUGUUUGUUACAAAUAUAUACACUGUGAUUUAUUUAGAUUCCAAAGUUGAGGUCCACUUCAGUUCUCUGACUCAUCAGUGUCGCUCCUCUCAGGUUCUGCUUCCCCUCCGUUUGCGGCGGGCUCUUGAACACCAGGCUGCUUGGCUGCACGAGCUACUGGAGGUUUCUUACGAUCACCACCUUCUUCACCUCCUAUCACACUGGCGUUCUGAUCUAUUGAUAGUCAAGGAAAAAUACACAUUUACAGAGAAUUUGCAAAAAGAAGAAAAAGAAGAGCUUGAAACAAACUUAUAGACAGAGAAUCCGUCAACCAACAAACCAAAUGCAUAUUGACUUACGGAUGUUAUAAGCCACCAAUCCAGAAGCAUAACUAGUGUUUAAGUGUAUAGCUUUCAAAACAUCUAUCUGAAGCCACUACACUGACAAGAUUCAAAGAAACACAUCAUUACCCUUGUCAAAGAGGGAGGGUAAUCCAAUACUCCAUGUAGAGUAGCCAAAUAAUACUGAGAAAACCUAAGAC